GCAGCCGCCACGGUAAUACGAGGGGUGCAAGCGUUAUUCGGAUUGAUUGGGUGUAAAGGGUGUGCAGACGGCUUAUUAAGUCACUUGUUAAAUUCUUCGGCCUAACUGAAGGUCUGCAAGUGAUACUGAUGAGCUAGAGGGUGGAAGAGAGAAGUGGAAUUCUCGGAGUAGCGGUAAAAUGCGUAGAUCUCGAGAGGAACACCAAUGGCGAAGGCAGCUUCUUGGUCCAUUCCUGACGUUCAUACACGAAAGCGUGGGGAGCGAACAGGAUUAGAUACCCGCGUAGUCCCUGUCUCUUAUAC
RNAcentral lists this ribosomal RNA (302 nucleotides) under uncultured bacterium. RNAcentral describes it as "partial 16S ribosomal RNA". It matches the Rfam family "Bacterial small subunit ribosomal RNA", at positions 508 to 807 of the family's 1533-position model. The record is from RNAcentral.